AAUUUGAUACGAAAAGUGCUGUACACCUGGGGAGAUCAAGGUUCAUUCUUUAACGUGAAUAAGCAAUAAGGAAGCCGGCAUAAGAAGGCUACUGGCAUCGAGCUGACAAUUUACUAUAAAACUGUUAGAUUUCACGCCUGGAAUGAUGAUUUUCCCAGCGUUGUUAAUUUGGCUGAUUAUUGCGACUACCCUCACCACCCCCAAUGGAGGUGAAUCGACAGUAACACGUCUCAGUUCCACCUGUGACUUAAAUUGUCAAUCCAUUUCAGCAAAGUGCCACCGUGACUGCCUAACACUUCACAAAGGCAAGGACUGCCAUCUUACCUGUGGAAAAGACGGAGUGCUUGGGGAAUGCAGACAUCUAUUUAAUUGUUGAUGAGUUCUUUUUAAUUUGAACUUUUGUGUAUCACCUUGCAAGGAAAUGCUUAUGAAAGAAAUAAAAAGAUGAUUAUCAAUA
Long non-coding RNA from Exaiptasia diaphana, 457 nucleotides. RefSeq lists it as uncharacterized. NCBI's taxonomy places the organism in Eukaryota, Metazoa, Cnidaria, Anthozoa, Actiniaria, Aiptasiidae. The transcript is spliced from 2 exons. The record is from RefSeq and is a predicted model, not a curated record.